This 574-nucleotide ribosomal RNA is filed under the name uncultured organism. RNAcentral describes it as "bacterial SSU rRNA". It matches the Rfam family "Bacterial small subunit ribosomal RNA", at positions 18 to 609 of the family's 1533-position model. The record is from RNAcentral.
UCUGGCUCACGAUGAACGCUGACGGGUGCUUACACAUGCAAGUCGAACGGGAACCUUUGGAUUCGUCUGAAGGGGAGAGUGGCGAACGGGUGAGUAACACGUGGGUGACCUGCCUCGAAGACGGGGAUAAGCGACUGGAAACGGUGGCUAAUACCCGAUGGUCUCGAUAAUUCGGUUUAUCGAGUAAAGGCUCCGGCGCUUUGAGAGGGACCUGCGACCCAUCAGCUAGUUGGUAGGGUAAUGGCCUACCAAGGCAAAGACGGGUAGGGGGCGUGAGAGCGUGACCCCCCACACUGGCACUGGGACACGGGCCAGACUCCUACGGGAGGCAGCAGUGAGGAAUAUUGCGCAAUGAGCGAAAGCUAGACGCAGCAACGCCGCGUGGGUGAUGAAGGCCUUCGGGUCGUAAAACCCUUUUCUGGGGGAAGAGUAAGGACGGUUACCCCAGGAAUAAGCCUCGGCUAACUAUGUGCCAGCAGCCGCGGUAAUACAUAGGAGGCAAGCGUAAUCCGGAUUUACUGGGCGUAAAGAGCGUUGAGGCGGCUUCGUAAGUUGGACGUGAAAGCUCCCGGCU